Molecule: long non-coding RNA, 1598 nt
Organism: Hippoglossus stenolepis (Pacific halibut)
Lineage: Eukaryota; Metazoa; Chordata; Actinopteri; Pleuronectiformes; Pleuronectidae
Exons: 2
Source: RefSeq, a predicted model, not a curated record
CCGGAUCAGAAUCAUCGUUCCAAAGUGAAGAUCUUGUUCCUUGUAGCUGUGCGUGCAGACCAGAAUGAGACUCCUGUCCUUAACUCACAUUUAAAAAGAAUAUAUCUCAACAAAUGUCAUCAUGAUGUACGUGUACAUUGAACCGACAGGUGAUCUUCCAGUCACAAGUUCGACUCCCAAUCGGGUCAAGUGUUCCUCACCCUUUCCUGUAUCAUGGAGACAGGAGCCGAGCCAAGAGCACAAAUACGAUACAUGAUGGCUGUACCCCAUACUGUCAUCUUAUAUCUGUUCCCGACUCUGGCCUUUGCAGUGAAGACGUGUCUCUUACCUUCUCCUUCGCAACCUUAUGGGAAAACGGACACGUCCCAUCCGCCUGCUUGCACGUCCCUCGCAGAAACCUGCAAACAAAAAAACAAGACCAAGCCUGAAAUAUCACAAGACAGAGAUGUGAAGAGCAAAGAACCAAGUUCAAGAAUCUUCCUGCUGACACCAGGGUCUUCUUAGGUAAAGACGCUACUCUCCUUGGCCUGUUCCCCGUGAUGCCCUUGACCUCCAGAAGGAUAUCUGUUAUCAGAGAGUCUCCAGGCCCGUCUGAUGCACAAAUCCUCCCCUGCUGGACAGCUAAGUUGUUUCAGGGGCGAGACCUUUCAAAUGCCAUCCACUGGGAAUCUGUAGGACUGCCUCCCCUUCGUCUACAAGGCCUGAGGGACACUUCAUCCCACUCCUUAUUCAAACCAUCAAACUGUUUAAAGCUCCACUAAUCAAUAGGUUCUGUUAAUGAUUAGUGACAAACCCACAUGAAAUUAUCACCAACAUUUACCAACAUGUCCACAACGGGUUCAGUCCUUACAUCAAGUUAAGUGGAAAUAAGUUCAGUAGUUUUAUCAUAAUCUUGCUGACAAACAAACAAACAAAAAGUAUUUUAGUGUAUGAAAUAAGAGAUUGUACCUGAAUCCCAAAGGUUCAGCUUUAAAUGUCUACAUUUAAAUGAUGCGUCAGUCAAAAUCCAAUUUAUAUUGAAAUUACAGUGACUUUAAAACUGACUCACAUCUGAUGAUCUUUACAUGAUGAAUAAUAUGUGUUAACUAAUCAAUUAAUCAACUAAUUGUUUCAGCCCCCAAAAUACAGUUCAUGUACUGGAGGUUGUACGAAUAGAAAAACAAGGGCUGGAGGUCACAGGAAAAGAACAAGAACAAAAAGUCAACAAAAAAAACUUGGAGGGUAAAAAAAUGUAAAAACAGAGGACAAGGGCACAAAGAAACUCCCCUGAGAUUAGUCUGCAUGCAUGUGUGUGUGUGUGUGUGUGUGUGUGUGUGUGUGUGUGUGUGGACUGCUCUGACCAUGCGAUGCACGGAUAAAGGAGAGGGCGAUUCAGCACUACGGGCGCCGUUGAUGAAUGAUCCGACUUUUGUUUUAGUGACAGGGAAGAAUUUGGAGGGUCGCGCGACUGCUCAGAAUAAUGCUGCCCUCGUCCAUUUGUCUGCAACCCAAGCAUUAGUGGGCUCAUAUUGGGAAACAGUUACCCUUGAAACAGAGCACAGCAAAAACAGUCAUCUGGCUAAUUCCAGCACUGCUGCUCUUCUUCGGGCACUUAAAGG